Molecule: ribosomal RNA, 466 nt
Filed under: uncultured bacterium
Lineage: Bacteria
Description: bacterial SSU rRNA
Rfam family: Bacterial small subunit ribosomal RNA
Source: RNAcentral
AACGAACGCUGGUGGAGUGCCUUAUACAUGCAAGUCGAGCGAGGUUUCGAACCGAGCGGCGAACGGGUGAGUAACGCGUGAAUAACCUGCCCCACAGUGGGGGAUAACCCUUCUAACGGAGGGCUAAUACCGCAUAUUGAACGAGGCUUCCUGGCCUUGUCUCGAAAGAUUUAUCGCUGUGGGAUGGAUUCGCGUAGGAUUAGCUAGUUGGCGGGGUAACGCCCACAAGGCAACGAUCCUUAGCCGGCCUGAGAGGGUGACCGGCCACAUUGGGACUGAGAUACGGCCCAGACUCCUACGGGAGGCAGCAGUAGGGAAUAUUGCGCAAUGGACGAAAGUCUGACCCAGCCAUGCCGCGUGAAGGAUGAAGGUCCUCUGGAUUGUAAACUUCUUUUUUCUGGGGAGAAAUGCAUCUUUUCUAAGGUGUUUGACGGUACCAGAAGAAUAAGCACCGGCUAACUCCGUG